CUUGAGCAUCUAGCUGAUGGCCAGGCACGGCUAAAAACAGCUGACGGGCAUACGUUGGAAGUUGACAUUGACCCAAGAACGAUUGGCCUUGUUCAUGGGAAUUCUGGAGUCCCUGUACUACUCCAGGUAUCACCUGAUGGAAUGUUACUCCAGAGAGAUGAUGUGCAAAUAGCAUUGGCAGCAUCAGGUGCAGCGGCUGAAAACUCCACUGACACCACAGAGGAACAGCGAGAAGACGCUGGAAGCUCUACACCUUGUGAAGAUUCUGAACCCAUGUUUCAAGGUUGCUGCACUUGCUUACUGGGACAUGGAAGAGGGAUAAUGCUGAGCAUCUGCCUCUACGAAUGUACUUCGAGGUUGCCAAGGAAACAGCUGACGAAAA
Rhipicephalus microplus (southern cattle tick) is the source of this 382-nucleotide long non-coding RNA. The record is from RefSeq and is a predicted model, not a curated record. Lineage: Eukaryota; Metazoa; Arthropoda; Arachnida; Ixodida; Ixodidae.